GUUGGUGCGGAGGAUGACUUUCCAACUUUUUUCCCCAUCAGAGCGGAAGUGUUGAUGCCUUUGCUGUUAAGCCAGUGAUUUGUUCUGAUGAACCAAG
This is a small nucleolar RNA of Sceloporus undulatus (fence lizard), 97 nucleotides long. RefSeq annotates it as small nucleolar SNORD12/SNORD106. NCBI's taxonomy places the organism in Eukaryota, Metazoa, Chordata, Lepidosauria, Squamata, Phrynosomatidae. The record is from RefSeq and is a predicted model, not a curated record. The transcript has a single exon.